RNAcentral lists this long non-coding RNA (1310 nucleotides) under Anas platyrhynchos platyrhynchos (common mallard). RNAcentral describes it as "lncRNA (ENSAPLG00000017405.1)". Lineage: Eukaryota; Metazoa; Chordata; Aves; Anseriformes; Anatidae. The record is from RNAcentral.
CCAUGAUCAACCUCUCUGUGAUUCUGUGAGAAAAAAACUCAAAAGGGGACAAUUACAGAGGAGGGAUAACUAAUCAAGCUCAUCAGUGUUAUGUGGUUCAUCUGUGAUAGAGUGAAGAUGAGAACCCAGACUACAGAGAUUUGGUAUCCCACCAGGGGAGGUGGGGAAAAAAGAAAAAUUCUGCCAAAACUGGGAAUUGAAGUGAGCCUUGUGAAAAACAUGAAGUGCCUUGAUCUCCAGCCCACCCUCAUCCUUAUGUUUGCCAUUUAUAGCCAAGACUACUAUUUUACCAUCUUCAUCAACUUUUCUCAAUGACAGACCUCCCACCUAUAAUAAUGACCUUAAUAUCAAGAGCAGAAUGAUCCCAUUGGGAACAGCAUGUGGGUAGUAUAGCCAAGACAGCGCUCAGAGACGUUAAACAAUAUGGCUUCUGUCCAGACUCUGUUGAAGAAAUGGCAGCACUCCCAUUGAUUUCGGCAGGAUCAGGAUUUCACGGCUGUUGUGUGAAAGAGUUUUCCCAACACUCGGUAUCUGCAGAUUUAAUUUAUGAUACAACUUUAAAAACUGCAUCAAAAAUAUUAGGAUCCUAUGACUGUUGGCUCAGAAAAGGUGUUUAAAAAUAGCUUUAAACUUAAUUGAAGACAAGAUGAGUCUCCCUUGUCUCUUCAUUCAGGGUCAAAAGGCAUGAAUUUCAUUCACUAAAUUAUCAACACUUAAAACUUUUUCUGCAUGAUUAGACUAUUACUAAGAGUCAGGACAGCAGAGAUCCUCCCACUGCAUUGACCUGUGAACUUUGUUAAAUCUUCUGACAGGGGUCAUUGUCUAUAGCAUGAUAGUGAAUGACUUUUCAAAAGGGAGCCAUUCUUUCAGUUGUAACAUGAAGCUGGUGCUGUUUUCUAAUGGGUUGAAAAUGUUAAUUUACUUUGAUGACAUUUCUUGUCAAUUUAUGUGUCAUCUGAAUUUGCUGAUUAGUCACAAAAGAUGAUGUAUUGCUUAUGGACAGUUAUUAUUUUACCUUUAGAAAACAAAACAAAACAAACAAACAAACAAACAAAAAACCUUCAGGUACUUCAAAUACUUCCAUGAUUAGAAAUCACUUCUUCCCUUCCAUGUUUCCUUCCUUUCUUCUGUGACAUACAUUUCAAAUUACCUGUAAGUAUUUUGCAAUUCUGAUGGAAUAGAAUGUGUUGGCAAACAUAUAUGAAAUUGAACCUCUUUCAGAAUACAAGCUUCUUCUGUAAAAUAUGUAUCAAGUUACUGUCCUUCAAAUUAACCUUCCUGAAAAUACUUCUUUUCAGUGACACAUGCAG